Molecule: unclassified non-coding RNA, 411 nt
Filed under: soil metagenome
Description: partial contains 5.8S ribosomal RNA, internal transcribed spacer 2, and large subunit ribosomal RNA
Rfam family: 5.8S ribosomal RNA (bases 1-120)
Source: RNAcentral
GAUGAAGAACGCAGUGAAAUGCGAUAAGUAAUGUGAAUUGCAGAAUUCAGUGAAUCAUCGAAUCUUUGAACGCACCUUGCGCUCUUUGGUAUUCCGAAGAGCAUGCCUGUUUGAGUGUCAUGAAAAUAUCAACCUUGACUUGGGUUUUGUGCUCUAGUCUCGGCUUGGAAUUGGGUGCUUGCCGCUUUUACGAGCGGCUCACCUUAAAUGUAUUAGCUGGAUCUGUCUUUGAGACUUGGUUUGACUUGGCGUAAUAAGUAUUUCGCUAAGGACAUUCUUCGGAGUGGCCUCGUUUCUAGGACGCUUGUCCGCUUUCCAAUACAAGUUCCACCUCGUGGACAUGACUUUUUAUUAUCUGGCCUCAAAUCAGGUAGGACUACCCGCUGAACUUAAGCAUAUCAAUAAGCGGGA